GGGGUUGUAGCUCAGUGGUAGAGUGCUUGCCUCUCAUGCUUGAAGCAUUGUGUUCGAUCCUCAGCACCA
RNAcentral lists this transfer RNA (69 nucleotides) under Marmota marmota marmota (Alpine marmot). It matches the Rfam family "tRNA". Rfam says of the family: Transfer RNA (tRNA) molecules are approximately 80 nucleotides in length. Lineage: Eukaryota; Metazoa; Chordata; Mammalia; Rodentia; Sciuridae. The record is from Rfam by way of RNAcentral. RNAcentral also lists the same sequence under 3 other names.